AGUUCGGAUUGUAGUCUGCAACUCGACUACAUGAAGCUGGAAUCGCUAGUAAUCGCGAAUCAGAAUGUCGCGGUGAAUACGUUCCCGGGUCUUGUACACACCGCCCGUCACACCAUGGGAGUCAGUAACGCCCGAAGCCGGUGACCCAACCGAUAAGGAGGGAGCCGUCGAAGGUGGGACCGAUAACUGGGGUGAAGUCGUAACAAGGUAGC
This 212-nucleotide ribosomal RNA is filed under the name uncultured bacterium. RNAcentral's name for it is "partial 16S ribosomal RNA". It matches the Rfam family "Bacterial small subunit ribosomal RNA", at positions 1290 to 1500 of the family's 1533-position model. The record is from RNAcentral.